This 305-nucleotide ribosomal RNA is filed under the name uncultured bacterium. RNAcentral's name for it is "bacterial SSU rRNA". It matches the Rfam family "Bacterial small subunit ribosomal RNA", at positions 337 to 635 of the family's 1533-position model. The record is from RNAcentral.
UCCUACGGGGGGCAGCAGUAGGGAAUUUUCGUCAAUGGGCGCAAGCCUGAACGAGCAAUGCCGCGUGAACGAGGAAGGUCUUCGGAUCGUAAAGUUCUGUUGAAGGGGAAAAAGAGCGGAGAGAGGAAAUGGUCUCCGAUUGAUAUUACCCUUCGAGGAAGUCACGGCUAACUACGUGCCAGCAGCCGCGGUAAUACGUAGGUGGCGAGCGUUAUCCGGAAUGAUUGGGCGUAAAGGGUGCGUAGGCGGCCUGCUAAGUCUGGAGUGAAAGGUACCGGCUCAACCGGUACAGGCUCUCGAAACUG